GGUCCUAUCGACUAGUGGUUAGGUCGUCACCCUUUCACGGUGGAGACAGGAGUUCAAUUCUCCUUAGGACUA
Molecule: transfer RNA, 72 nt
Filed under: Caudoviricetes sp.
Lineage: Duplodnaviria; Heunggongvirae; Uroviricota; Caudoviricetes
Description: tRNA-Glu
Rfam family: tRNA
About the family: Transfer RNA (tRNA) molecules are approximately 80 nucleotides in length.
Source: RNAcentral